GUUUACUCUUUGAGAUGUUAUUAUACCCAUAAGCAAUAGCAACAUCCUCCAUGACGUCACAUGGGUGAAGCACAUCACUCCUUGUUGGGGGCACAGAUAUAGUUAUACUAGACUUGUCACCAGAUACUGACUGUUCAGCGUGCAAUUGCAUCCUAUUUAACAAAUUGAUAACCUCUUCUGCCUCCAAUGAGACUCCAAUACACUUAUUGAUAUAAGAC
Molecule: unclassified non-coding RNA, 218 nt
Filed under: Hevea brasiliensis (rubber tree)
Lineage: Eukaryota; Viridiplantae; Streptophyta; Magnoliopsida; Malpighiales; Euphorbiaceae
Source: RNAcentral